UCCGGAGGGGGCGAUCGUUGCUCGGAAUUACUGGGCGUAAAGCGCACGUAGGCGGACUGGAAAGUCAGGGGUGAAAUCCCGGGGCUCAACCCCGGAACUGCCUUUGAAACUCCCGGUCUUGAGGUCGAGAGAGGUGAGUGGAAUUCCGAGUGUAGAGGUGAAAUUCGUAGAUAUUCGGAGGAACACCAGUGGCGAAGGCGGCUCACUGGCUCGAUACUGACGCUGAGGUGCGAAAGCGUGGGGAGCAAACAGG
This 253-nucleotide ribosomal RNA is filed under the name uncultured bacterium. RNAcentral describes it as "partial 16S ribosomal RNA". It matches the Rfam family "Bacterial small subunit ribosomal RNA", at positions 524 to 776 of the family's 1533-position model. The record is from RNAcentral.